This is a long non-coding RNA of Ananas comosus (pineapple), 764 nucleotides long. RefSeq lists it as uncharacterized. NCBI's taxonomy places the organism in Eukaryota, Viridiplantae, Streptophyta, Magnoliopsida, Poales, Bromeliaceae. The transcript has 3 exons. The record is from RefSeq and is a predicted model, not a curated record.
AAACUGAGCCUGCCUGUCAAAUUUGAGCUCAAUCGGACAUUCAGAAGGGCUCCAACGAAACUUAUCAGAUUUAGGGACUGAAUUGAAAGAUUGAAUAGUUGAGGGGCUAACUCGUAAAAAGGGAUUAAAUCCCUUUCUUCCUCAACCGUGGCUGCCCCAAACCGAGCCACACACACACAAACGCACACCCACACACGCAUGGAAGGGAAAAGAGAGAAAUCUCUUUCUCUCUCUAGAUUUCUCCCGAAGAGAGAGGAUUUUGGUGGAGGUUGAUGCUCAAGGAGGAUUUUUAUCUUCUCCAACUUCUUCCUCUCCAUUGGAGCAAGGUUUGAAGGUAACGAAACACGUUGGCGAAGACGGUUCGGCAAUCCGACGAGCCGUUACAAAGUUAUUAAAGAAACGGACGUUUAGGCUUCGUUUCCGCCUGGAGGGCCGAGGCGACGUCGGAAAAUCGUGGAAACGGAUUUGAAGCACCGUAGCGAGAAACCGAAGACCUAUAAUUUCCAGAUCGCGAAUCGGAGGUCGUUUGGUGGUCGCGCACGGAUUGGGUCGAGCCGAGCGGCGUGCGCCGCGGGAGGCCGAUUGCAAGUGACGACGAGCAAUCGGAACGCGGUAAAAGGUACACACGAGAGCGGAUCGGCAGAGGAUCGCGGUAUGGGCUUAGUGCCCUAGUGCUAGUUGGUAGUUUACUUUCCUAUUUUGCAUUAGAGUUACCCUAUACAUGUAUUGAGAGUAGAUGAUGUAUAGGAUAUGAGGUAUCGAGA